GUCGAUUCAGAAGAAUCGCAAACGCCAGUCCCAGAGGAGGACACCACGCCAGCUUCAGAGGAAGCAAAUACCGAUACGCCAGCUUCAGAAGAAGUUCAUACGCCAGCUUCAGAGGAAGCUAGUCCAUCUGACCAAAGGGUCGUAAAUGAUGAUACAUUAAGCAUUCUUGGCGGCGAUGAUUUUGACGAUAAUGAGGACCUUUUAGAUGAAAUUGAUGAAUCGUUACGGCCGUCAGACUCUGUAGGCCCACCGAUACAUGCAAAAAUCGCAAAAAUUGUAAACGACAAGUUUUCAUCAGAUCUCGGACUAGAGAAGCGUAAGGAGAUAUUUGAAAAAUAUAAAACACCUGAAAAUUGUCCAAAGCUUUUUGUACCAAAGGUUAAUGAACCUAUUUAGACGAGCCUCAAAGCUUUUUACCGACAGCGUGACUUACGCACAGCAGUCUUACAAGACUCUGUUGUUCGAGUACCAAGCGCACUUUCUGUUACUGUUGACGAGCUACUAAAAUGUAGAGAAAACAAGACAUUGCCUGAUUAUCGUACUGUUGCCUCACGUCUUUUUUAUUCAAUUGCGCUUUUGGGCCAUGUUAAUACGGAAUUAUCCUAUAAAAGACGGGAUUCACUACGCCCAUUACUCAGUAACGAAUUAAAGCCUGCUUGUCACCGAUCGAACAAACCCGAGAAAUUUCUUUUUGGUGACGAUCUGAGCAAAUCAGUCAAUGAGGC
This is a non-coding RNA of Paramuricea clavata, 725 nucleotides long. The record is from the annotation of a GenBank genome assembly. Lineage: Eukaryota; Metazoa; Cnidaria; Anthozoa; Malacalcyonacea; Plexauridae.